GACAGAGGAGCCAAGCGUUGUCCGGAUUGACUGGGCGUAAAGCGCACGCAGGUGGUCGUGCAAGUGUCGUGUGAAAGCAGCUCGCUCAACGAGCUGAGGCACGUUAGACUGCACAACUCGAGCCCGUGAGAGGUCGGUGGAAUUGCCGGUGUAGUGGUGAAAUGCGUAGAGAUCGGCAGGAACACCCAAGGGGAAGCCAGCCGACUGGCACGGUGCUGACACUGAGGUGCGAGAGCGUGGGGAGCGAACCGG
RNAcentral lists this ribosomal RNA (252 nucleotides) under uncultured bacterium. RNAcentral's name for it is "partial 16S ribosomal RNA". It matches the Rfam family "Bacterial small subunit ribosomal RNA", at positions 524 to 776 of the family's 1533-position model. The record is from RNAcentral.